This 253-nucleotide ribosomal RNA is filed under the name uncultured bacterium. RNAcentral describes it as "partial 16S ribosomal RNA". It matches the Rfam family "Bacterial small subunit ribosomal RNA", at positions 524 to 776 of the family's 1533-position model. The record is from RNAcentral.
UACGUAGGUGGCAAGCGUUGUCCGGAUUUACUGGGCGUAAAGAGCGCGCAGGCGGUCGUUCAAGUCGCGUGUGAAAGCCCCCGGCUCAACUGGGGAGGGUCACGCGAUACUGAUCGACUCGAAGGCAGGAGAGGGUAGUGGAAUUCCCGGUGUAGUGGUGAAAUGCGUAGAUAUCGGGAGGAACACCAGUGGCGAAGGCGGCGUUCUGGACUGCAACUGACACUGAGAGACGAAAGCCAGGGGAGCAAACGGG